RNAcentral lists this ribosomal RNA (1482 nucleotides) under uncultured bacterium. RNAcentral describes it as "16S ribosomal RNA". It matches the Rfam family "Bacterial small subunit ribosomal RNA". The record is from RNAcentral.
UGGCUCAGGAUGAACGCUAGCGACAGGCUUAACACAUGCAAGUCGAGGGGCAGCGGUGGUGAAGGCUUGCCUUUACCAGCCGGCGACCGGCGCACGGGUGAGUAACACGUAUGCAACCUGCCUGCCACAGCCGGAUAAUCGGGAGAAAUUCCGUCUAAUACGGCAUAAUGCAUCGACGGGACAUCCUGUUGGUGCCAAAGGUUGAUUCCGGUGGCGGAUGGGCAUGCGUCGCAUUAGUUAGUUGGCGGUGUAACGGACCACCAAGACGACGAUGCGUAGGGGUUCUGAGAGGAAGGUCCCCCACACUGGUACUGAGACACGGACCAGACUCCUACGGGAGGCAGCAGUGAGGAAUAUUGGUCAAUGGGCGGGAGCCUGAACCAGCCAAGUCGCGUGAGGGAUGACGGCCCUAUGGGUUGUAAACCUCUUUUGCCGGGGAGCAAAGUGCCGCACGUGUGCGGUUUGGAGAGUACCCGGAGAAAAAGCAUCGGCUAACUCCGUGCCAGCAGCCGCGGUAAUACGGAGGAUGCGAGCGUUAUCCGGAUUUAUUGGGUUUAAAGGGUGCGUAGGCGGACGCUUAAGUCAGCGGUAAAAUUGCGGGGCUCAACCUCGUCGAGCCGUUGAAACUGGGUGCCUUGAGUGGGCGAGAAAUACGCGGAAUGCGUGGUGUAGCGGUGAAAUGCAUAGAUAUCACGCAGAACUCCGAUUGCGAAGGCAGCGUACCGGCGCCCAACUGACGCUGAAGCACGAAGGCGUGGGUAUCGAACAGGAUUAGAUACCCUGGUAGUCCACGCAGUGAACGAUGAAUGCUAGUUGUCCGGGGCGAUUGAGUUCUGGGUGACACAGCGAAAGCGUUAAGCAUUCCACCUGGGGAGUACGCCGGCAACGGUGAAACUCAAAGGAAUUGACGGGGGCCCGCACAAGCGGAGGAACAUGUGGUUUAAUUCGAUGAUACGCGAGGAACCUUACCCGGGCUCAAACGCAGGAGAGAUGUUUUUGAAAGGAGGCAGCCAGCAAUGGUCUCCUGCGAGGUGCUGCAUGGUUGUCGUCAGCUCGUGCCGUGAGGUGUCGGCUUAAGUGCCAUAACGAGCGCAACCCCUACCUACAGUUGCCAUCGCGUGAUGGCGGGCACUCUGUGGGGACUGCCUGCGCAAGCAGUGAGGAAGGCGGGGAUGACGUCAAAUCAGCACGGCCCUUACGUCCGGGGCGACACACGUGUUACAAUGGCAGGUACAGCGGGAAGCCACCCGGCGACGGGGCGCGGAACCCGAAAACCUGUCUCAGUUCGGAUUGGAGUCUGCAACCCGACUCCAUGAAGCUGGAUUCGCUAGUAAUCGCGCAUCAGCCACGGCGCGGUGAAUACGUUCCCGGGCCUUGUACACACCGCCCGUCAAGCCAUGGAAGCACGGGGGUGCCUGAAGUGCGUGACCGCAAGGAGCGCCCUAGGGAAAACCGGUGACUGGAAUGAGUCGUAACAAGGUA